GACGAACGCUGGCGGCGUGCUUAACACAUGCAAGUCGAACGGUGAAGCGCCUUCCUUUUUGGUGGGUGUGGAUGAGUGGCGAACGGGUGAGUAACACGUGAGUAACCUGCCCCCUUCUUCUGGAUAACCGCAUGAAAGUGUGGCUAAUACGGGAUAUUCUGGGUCUGUCGCAUGAUGGGUCUGGGAAAGAUAUUGUUUCGGUGGGGGAUGGGCUCGCGGCCUAUCAGCUUGUUGGUGGGGUGAUGGCCUACCAAGGCGGUGACGGGUAGCCGGCCUGAGAGGGUGGACGGUCACACUGGGACUGAGACACGGACCAGACUCCUACGGGAGGCAGCAGUGGGGAAUAUUGCACAAGGGGCGCAAGCCUGAUGCAGCGACGCCGCGUGAGGGAUGGAGGCCUUCGGGUUGUGAACCUCUUUCGCCAGUGAAGCAGGCCUGCCUCGUUUGUGGGUGGGUUGACGGUAGCUGGAUAAGAAGCGCCGGCUAACUACGU
This 493-nucleotide ribosomal RNA is filed under the name uncultured bacterium. RNAcentral describes it as "partial 16S ribosomal RNA". It matches the Rfam family "Bacterial small subunit ribosomal RNA", at positions 28 to 506 of the family's 1533-position model. The record is from RNAcentral.